Molecule: ribosomal RNA, 526 nt
Filed under: Penicillium commune
Lineage: Eukaryota; Fungi; Ascomycota; Eurotiomycetes; Eurotiales; Aspergillaceae
Description: eukaryotic LSU rRNA
Rfam family: 5.8S ribosomal RNA (bases 168-319)
Source: RNAcentral
GGGCCCUCUGGGUCCAACCUCCCACCCGUGUUUAUUUACCUUGUUGCUUCGGCGGGCCCGCCUUAACUGGCCGCCGGGGGGCUCACGCCCCCGGGCCCGCGCCCGCCGAAGACACCCUCGAACUCUGUCUGAAGAUUGAAGUCUGAGUGAAAAUAUAAAUUAUUUAAAACUUUCAACAACGGAUCUCUUGGUUCCGGCAUCGAUGAAGAACGCAGCGAAAUGCGAUACGUAAUGUGAAUUGCAAAUUCAGUGAAUCAUCGAUCUUUGAACGCACAUUGCGCCCCCUGGUAUUCCGGGGGGCAUGCCUGUCCGAGCGUCAUUGCUGCCCUCAAGCCCGGCUUGUGUGUUGGGCCCCGUCCUCCGAUCUCCGGGGGACGGGCCCGAAAGGCAGCGGCGGCACCGCGUCCGGUCCUCGAGCGUAUGGGGCUUUGUCACCCGCUCUGUAGGCCCGGCCGGCGCUUGCCGAUCAACCCAAAUUUUUAUCCAGUUGACCUCGGAUCAGUAGGGAUACCCGUGAACUUAAGCU